This 71-nucleotide transfer RNA is filed under the name Takifugu rubripes (torafugu). It matches the Rfam family "tRNA". Rfam says of the family: Transfer RNA (tRNA) molecules are approximately 80 nucleotides in length. Their secondary structure includes four short double-helical elements and three loops (D, anti-codon, and T loops). The record is from Rfam by way of RNAcentral. Lineage: Eukaryota; Metazoa; Chordata; Actinopteri; Tetraodontiformes; Tetraodontidae. RNAcentral also lists the same sequence under 2 other names.
UCCGAAAUAAGAGUUUGGAGACCGUUAGACUGAAGAUCUAAAGGUCGCUGGUUCGAUCCCAGGUUUCGGCA